GAACGCUAGCGACAGGCUUAACACAUGCAAGUCGAGGGGCAGCGGGGGUAGCGAUACCCGCCGGCGACCGGCGCACGGGUGAGUAACGCGUAUGCAACUUGCCUAUCAGAGGGGGAUAACCCGGCGAAAGUCGGACUAAUACCGCAUGAAGCAGGGGCCCCGCAUGGGGAUAUUUGCUAAAGAUUCAUCGCUGAUAGAUAGGCAUGCGUUCCAUUAGGCAGUUGGCGGGGUAACGGCCCACCAAACCGACGAUGGAUAGGGGUUCUGAGAGGAAGGUCCCCCACAUUGGUACUGAGACACGGACCAAACUCCUACGGGAGGCAGCAGUGAGGAAUAUUGGUCAAUGGCCGAGAGGCUGAACCAGCCAAGUCGCGUGAGGGAUGAAGGUUCUAUGGAUCGUAAACCUCUUUUAUAAGGGAAUAAAGUGCGGGACGUGUCCCGUUUUGUAUGUACCUUAUGAAUAAGGAUCGGCUAACUCCGUGCCAGCAGCCGCGGUAAUACGGAGGAUCCGAGCGUUAUCCGGAUUUAUUGGGUUUAAAGGGUGCGUAGGCGGCCUUUUAAGUCAGCGGUGAAAGUCUGUGGCUCAACCAUAGAAUUGCCGUUGAAACUGGGGGGCUUGAGUAUGUUUGAGGCAGGCGGAAUGCGUGGUGUAGCGGUGAAAUGCAUAGAUAUCACGCAGAACCCCGAUUGCGAAGGCAGCCUGCCAAGCCAUUACUGACGCUGAUGCACGAAAGCGUGGGGAUCAAACAGGAUUAGAUACCCUGGUAGUCCACGCAGUAAACGAUGAUCACUAGCUGUUUGCGAUACACUGUAAGCGGCACAGCGAAAGCGUUAAGUGAUCCACCUGGGGAGUACGCCGGCAACGGUGAAACUCAAAGGAAUUGACGGGGGCCCGCACAAGCGGAGGAACAUGUGGUUUAAUUCGAUGAUACGCGAGGAACCUUACCCGGGUUUGAACGCAUUCGGACCGAGGUGGAAACACCUUUUCUAGCAAUAGCCGUUUGCGAGGUGCUGCAUGGUUGUCGUCAGCUCGUGCCGUGAGGUGUCGGCUUAAGUGCCAUAACGAGCGCAACCCUUGCCACUAGUUACUAACAGGUAAAGCUGAGGACUCUGGUGGGACUGCCAGCGUAAGCUGCGAGGAAGGCGGGGAUGACGUCAAAUCAGCACGGCCCUUACAUCCGGGGCGACACACGUGUUACAAUGGCGUGGACAAAGGGAGGCCACCUGGCGACAGGGAGCGAAUCCCCAAACCACGUCUCAGUUCGGAUCGGAGUCUGCAACCCGACUCCGUGAAGCUGGAUUCGCUAGUAAUCGCGCAUCAGCCAUGGCGCGGUGAAUACGUUCCCGGGCCUUGUACACACCGCCCGUCAAGCCAUGGGAGCCGGGGGUACCUGAAGUCCGUAACCGAAAGGAUCGGCCUAGGGUAAAACUGGUGACUGGGGCUAA
Molecule: ribosomal RNA, 1446 nt
Filed under: uncultured organism
Description: SSU rRNA
Rfam family: Bacterial small subunit ribosomal RNA
Source: RNAcentral